UCAAGCGAACAAGGGCGCAGGGCGAAUGCCUUGGCACUGGGAGCCGAUGAAAGACGUGAUAAGCUGCGAUAAGCUUCGGGGAGCUGCAAAUAAGCAUUGAUCCGGAGAUUUCUGAAUGAGGAAACUCACCUGGGUUCAUACUCAGGUACGUUGUACUGAAAUUCAAAAUAGGUACAUCGGGGGAACCGCCUGAACUGAAACAUCUAAGUAGGGCGAGGAAGAGACAUCAAACGAGAUUCCGUAAGUAGUGGCGAGCGAACGCGGAAGAGGGCAAACCGGGAGUAGAAAUACUUCCGGGGUACGGACUGCUUUUAGGACUCGAUCUGUUAACCGAACGGCAUGGGAAGGCCGGUCAGAGAGUGUGAGAACCACGUAGGUGAAAACGGAGAGAGCUGCGCAGAUUCCAGAGUACGGCCAGACACGUGAAACCUGGUCGGAAGAUGGGGGGACCACCCUCCAACCCUAAAUACUACCCAGUGACCGAUAGCGUAUAGUACUGUGAAGGAAAGGUGAAAAGCACCCCGGGAGGGGAGUGAAAAAGAACCUGAAACCCUGUGCCUACAAGCACCUAGAGCACGUCAAUGUGUGAUAGGGUACUUUUUGUAGAACGGUCCGGCGAGCGAUUGUAUGCAGCAAGGUUAAGGACUUAAGGUCUGGAGCCGAAGCGAAAGCGAGUUUGAAAAGGGCGUUAAGUUGCAUAUAAUGGGCCCGAAACCGGGUGACCUACCCAUGGUCAGGUUGAAGUGGAAGUAAAAUUCCAUGGAGGACCGAACCGACCUCCGUUGAAAAGGCGGCGGAUGAACUGUGGGUAGCGGAGAAAUUCCAAUCGAACCCGGAGAUAGCUGGUUCUCCCCGAAAUAGUUUUAGGACUAGCCUCAAGUUAGAUACCUGGAGGUAAAGCACUGAAUAGCCUAGCGGCCGAGAGGUUAGCGAAGCUUAUCAAACUCAGAAUGCCAGAGUAUUGAUGCUUGGGAGUCAGACAGUGUCAGAUAAAUGUCAUUGUCAAAAGGGAAACAGCCCAGAUCUACAGCUAAGGUCCCAAAGUCAGGUUAAGUGGAAAACGAUGUGAAGAUACGCAGACAACCAGGAUGUUGGCUCAGAAGCAGCCACUCAUUCAAAGAGUGCGUAAUAGCUCACUGGUCGAGCGUCUUUGCGCGGAGAAUUUAACGGGGCUAAACCUGACACCGAAGCUUAGGCAAUCCAGCAAUGGAUUGGGUAGGGGAGCGUUGUAUACGCGGAGAAACAGUAGCGUAAGCGGCUGUGGAGUGUAUAGAAGUGAGAAUGCCGGAAUGAGUAGCGCGAAUGCAGUGAGAAUCUGCAUGGCCGAAAGCCUCAGGUUUUUGGAGGAAGGUUCGUCCGCUCCAAGUUAGUCGGGAGCUAAGGUGAGGCCGGAAGGCGUAGCCGAUGCACAGACGGUAGAGAUUCCGUCACCACCAAAAGAGUUAAGCACAGGGACACAUUUGAAGUCUCAGAGCCGGGUGUUGGUUCCGGUAGAGAUCGAGGGAAGUUAGUACCGAAGUCUGGGAUGGAGGAUGGCGAGAAAAGCUGUGUGUAUUUCUGAGGUGCCCGUACCGCAAACCGACACAGGUAGGUAGGAAGAAGAUUCUAAGGCCAACGGGAGAAGGGUUGUUAAGGAACUCGGCAAAUUGACCCCGUAACUUCGGGAGAAGGGGUGCUCCAGAGAUGGAGCCGCAGAGAAUCGGCCCAAGCAACUGUUUACCAAAAACACAGGUUUGUGCUAAAUCGAAAGAUGACGUAUACGAGCUGACGCCUGCCCGGUGCUGGAAGGUUAAGAGGAGAUGUGCAAGCAUUGAAUCGAAGCCCCAGUGAACGGCGGCCGUAACUAUAACGGUCCUAAGGUAGCGAAAUUCCUUGUCAGGUAAG
This 1884-nucleotide ribosomal RNA is filed under the name human gut metagenome. RNAcentral's name for it is "bacterial LSU rRNA". It matches the Rfam family "Bacterial large subunit ribosomal RNA", at positions 3 to 1980 of the family's 2925-position model. The record is from RNAcentral.